CGUAGGGUCCGAGCGUUAAUCGGAAUUACUGGGCGUAAAGCGUGCGCAGGCGGUCUCGCAAGUCCGAUGUGAAAUCCCCGGGCUCAACCUGGGAACUGCGUUGGAAACUAUGAGGCUCGAGUGCGGCAGAGGGGGGUGGAAUUCCACGUGUAGCAGUGAAAUGCGUAGAGAUGUGGAGGAACACCGAUGGCGAAGGCAGCCCCCUGGGCCAGCACUGACGCUCAUGCACAAAAGCGUGGGGAGCAAACAGGAUUAGAUACCCUGGUAGUCCACGCCCUAAACGAUGGCAACUAGUUGUUGGGGGAUGAACUCCCUUAGUAACGCAGCUAACGCGUGAAGUUGCCCGCCUGGGGAGUACGGUCGCAAGAUUAA
Molecule: ribosomal RNA, 372 nt
Filed under: uncultured organism
Description: bacterial SSU rRNA
Rfam family: Bacterial small subunit ribosomal RNA
Source: RNAcentral